Molecule: ribosomal RNA, 253 nt
Filed under: uncultured bacterium
Lineage: Bacteria
Description: partial 16S ribosomal RNA
Rfam family: Bacterial small subunit ribosomal RNA
Source: RNAcentral
UACGUAGGGUGCAAGCGUUAAUCGGAAUUACUGGGCGUAAAGCGUGCGCAGGCGGUUGUGCAAGACCGAUGUGGAAUCCCCGGGCUUAACCUGGGAAUGGCAUUGGUGACUGCAUGGCUGGAGUGCGGCAGAGGGGGAUGGAAUUCCGCGUGUAGCAGUGAAAUGCGUAGAUAUGCGGAGGAACACUGAUGGCGAAGGCAAUCCCCUGGGCCUGCACUGACGCUCAUGCACGAAAGCGUGGGGAGCAAACAGG